RNAcentral lists this ribosomal RNA (465 nucleotides) under Vreelandella stevensii. RNAcentral describes it as "partial 16S ribosomal RNA". It matches the Rfam family "Bacterial small subunit ribosomal RNA", at positions 338 to 795 of the family's 1533-position model. The record is from RNAcentral. Lineage: Bacteria; Pseudomonadati; Pseudomonadota; Gammaproteobacteria; Oceanospirillales; Halomonadaceae.
CCUACGGGAGGCUGCAGUGGGGAAUAUUGGACAAUGGGGGCAACCCUGAUCCAGCCAUGCCGCGUGUGUGAAGAAGGCCCUCGGGUUGUAAAGCACUUUCAGUGAGGAAGAACGCCUGGUGGUUAAUACCCAUCAGGAAAGACAUCACUCACAGAAGAAGCACCGGCUAACUCCGUGCCAGCAGCCGCGGUAAUACGGAGGGUGCGAGCGUUAAUCGGAAUUACUGGGCGUAAAGCGCGCGUAGGUGGCUUGAUAAGCCGGUUGUGAAAGCCCCGGGCUCAACCUGGGAACGGCAUCCGGAACUGUCAAGCUAGAGUGCAGGAGAGGAAGGUAGAAUUCCCGGUGUAGCGGUGAAAUGCGUAGUGAUCGGGAGGAAUACCAGUGGCGAAGGCGGCCUUCUGGACUGACACUGACACUGAGGUGCGAAAGCGUGGGUAGCAAACAGGAUUAGAUACCCGAGUAGUC